RNAcentral lists this ribosomal RNA (253 nucleotides) under uncultured bacterium. RNAcentral's name for it is "partial 16S ribosomal RNA". It matches the Rfam family "Bacterial small subunit ribosomal RNA", at positions 524 to 776 of the family's 1533-position model. The record is from RNAcentral.
UACAGAGGGGGCAAGCGUUGUUCGGAAUUACUGGGCGUAAAGGGCGCGUAGGCGGCCUGCUAAGUCGAACGUGAAAUCCCCGGGCUCAACCCGGGAACUGCGUCCGAUACUGGCAGGCUUGAAUUCGGGAGAGGGAUGCGGAAUUCCAGGUGUAGUGGUGAAAUGCGUAGAUAUCGGGAGGAACACCAGUGGCGAAGGCGGCUUCCUGGCCUGUUCUUGACGCUGAGGCGCGAAAGCUAGGGGAGCAAACGGG